RNAcentral lists this ribosomal RNA (406 nucleotides) under uncultured bacterium. Its description in RNAcentral is "partial 16S ribosomal RNA". It matches the Rfam family "Bacterial small subunit ribosomal RNA", at positions 29 to 526 of the family's 1533-position model. The record is from RNAcentral.
AUUGAACGCUGGCGGCAGGCCUAACACAUGCAAGUCGAACGAGUGGCGGACGGGUGAGUAAUGUCUGGGAAACUGCCUGAUGGAGGGGGAUAACUACUGGAAACGGUAGCUAAUACCGCAUACCAUCGGAUGUGCCCAGAUGGGAUUAGCUAGUAGGUGGGGUAAAGGCUCACCUAGGCGACGAUCCCUAGCUGGUCUGAGAGGAUGACCGGCCAAACGGGAACGGGGAAAGGGUCCAGAUUCCUACGGGAGGAAGAAGUGGGGAAUAUGGCAAAAUGGGGGCAAGCCUGAGGCAGACAUGCCGCGUGGAUGAAGAAGGCCUUCGGGUGGUAAAGUACUUUCAGCGGGGAGGCGUUACCCGCAGAAGAAGCACCGGCUAACUCCGUGCCAGCAGCAGCGGUAAUAC